AAAAGUCGUAACAAGGCAUCCGUAGGUGAACCUGCGGAAGGAUCAUUAUCGUACANCNGNGGUGCGAAGGCUGUCGCUGACCUUCAAAGGUCGUGACGCCCGAGUGCUCUCACAUCCAUCUUACCCCCUUGUGCACUGCCGCGUGGGCCCCCAUUUUUGCAAAGGGGGGCUUGCGUUUUAACAUAAAACUUGAUAUGGUGUAGAAUGUCUUUUCUUUUGCGGUUACACGCAAUCAAUACAACUUUCAACAACGGAUCUCUUGGCUCUCGCAUCGAUGAAGAACGCAGCGAAAUGCGAUACGUAAUGUGAAUUGCAGAAUUCAGUGAAUCAUCGAAUCUUUGAACGCACCUUGCGCCCCUUGGCAUUCCGAGGGGCACACCCGUUUGAGUGUCGUGAAAUCAUCAAAACCCUUUUCUUUGAUCCUCUCUUGGUCGAGAAAAGGGAUUUUUGGACUUGGAGGUUUCAUGCUAGCUUUCAAGCUUUUGAAAGCGAGCUCCUCUCAAAUGAAUUAGUGGGGUCCGCUUUGCCGAUCCUUGACGUGAUAAAGAUGUUUCUACGUUUUGGAUUCGGCACUGUCUCUUUGGACGUCUGCUUCUAACCGUCCCCCUGGACGAUGAUGGUGCUCCGGUCACCGCCCAUCUUAUAUUGGCGAGAGGCUGGACCCACAAGAAAAAACCUUGACCUCAAAUCGGGUGAGACUACCCGCUGAACUUAAGCAUAUCAAU
This 725-nucleotide ribosomal RNA is filed under the name Russula melitodes. Its description in RNAcentral is "eukaryotic LSU rRNA". The stretch from base 240 to 393 matches the Rfam family "5.8S ribosomal RNA". The record is from RNAcentral. Lineage: Eukaryota; Fungi; Basidiomycota; Agaricomycetes; Russulales; Russulaceae.